This 855-nucleotide ribosomal RNA is filed under the name Angulomyces argentinensis. RNAcentral's name for it is "eukaryotic LSU rRNA". It matches the Rfam family "Eukaryotic large subunit ribosomal RNA", at positions 55 to 944 of the family's 3401-position model. The record is from RNAcentral. Lineage: Eukaryota; Fungi; Chytridiomycota; Chytridiomycetes; Rhizophydiales; Angulomycetaceae.
GGAGAAAACUAACAAGGAUUCCCUUAGUAACGGCGAGUGAAGUGGGAAUAGCUCAAAUUUGAAAUCUCCCCUCUGGGGCGAAUUGUAGUUUAGAGAAACGUUUUCGGGCUUGACUUCAGGUACAAGUUCGUUGGAACUCGGCAUCAUAGAGGGUGAUAAUCCCGUCCAUGAUCUGUUGUUCAAGUCCAUAUGAUACGUUUUCCAAGAGUCGGAUUGUUUGGGAAUGCAGUCCAAAAUGGGUGGUAAAUACCAUCUAAAGCUAAAUAUUGGCGAGAGACCGAUAGCGAACAAGUACCGUGAGGGAAAGAUGAAAAGAACUUUGAAAAGAGAGUUAAACAGUACGUGAAAUUGUCAAAAGGGAAACGUUUGAAACCAGUAUUGUAUACAAGAUUUAAUGAGGAUUUAUUCUCAUGUCCUUUUUUGUUUACAAGUCAACAUCAGUUUGAUUUGAAGGAAAAUGCUAAAGGAAGGUGGCCUUCGGGUGUUAUAGCCUUUAGUUCUGCUUUGAAUUAGACUGAGGUCUGCAGCUUCGGCUUAGGAUGUUGACGAAAUGGUUUUAAGCGACCCGUCUUGAAACACGGACCAAGGAGUCUAACAUGUAUGCGAGUAUUUGGGUGGUAAACCCUUAUGCGUAAUGAAAGUGAAAAGGUGGGAUUCCUUUGGAUGCACCAUCGACCGCGCCAGAUUAUUACUAUCUCGGCGUGAGUAUGAGCAUAUAUGCUGGGACCCGAAAGAUGGUGAACUAUACCUGAAUAGGGUGAAGCCAGAGGAAACUCUGGUGGAGGCUCGUAGCGGUUCUGACGUGCAAAUCGAUCGUCAAAUUUGGGUAUAGGGGCGAAAGACUAAUCGAACCUC